RNAcentral lists this unclassified non-coding RNA (219 nucleotides) under Ramularia eucalypti. RNAcentral's name for it is "partial internal transcribed spacer region". The stretch from base 1 to 46 matches the Rfam family "Eukaryotic small subunit ribosomal RNA", at positions 1786 to 1831 of the family's 1831-position model. Lineage: Eukaryota; Fungi; Ascomycota; Dothideomycetes; Mycosphaerellales; Mycosphaerellaceae. The record is from RNAcentral.
AAGUCGUAACAAGGUCUCCGUAGGUGAACCUGCGGAGGGAUCAUUACUGAGUGAGGGAGAAAUCCCGACCUCCAACCCUUUGUGAACGCAUCAUGUUGCUUUGGGGGCGACCCUGCCGUUUUGCGGCAUUCCCCCCGAAGGUCAUCAAAACACUGCAUUCUUACGUCGGAGUAUAAAGUUAAUUUAAUAAAACUUUCAACAACGGAUCUCUUGGUUCUG